UGCUUAUCUAACUUGCCAAUUAGUGGGGGAUAACCGUGGGAAACCAUGGCUAAUACCGCAUUUGUUACUUCGGUAAUGAAAGGGGGUCACAAGACUUUCGCUAAUUGAGAGGGAUAAGUCGUAUUAGUUAGUUGGUGGGGUAAAGGCCUACCAAGACAAUGAUGCGUAGCCAGGCUGAGAGGCUGAAUGGCCACAAGGGAACUGAGAUACGGUCCCUACUCCUACGGGAGGCAGCAGUGAGGAAUUUUCGGCAAUGGGGGCAACCCUGACCGAGCAAUACUACGUGAAGGAGGAAGGUCUAAGGAUUGUAAACUUCUGUUAGCAUAGAAGAAGGACUGAGCGUAAGUUCAGUUUUGACGGUAUAUGCAGAGAAAGCGACGACUAACUAUGUGCCAGCAGUCGCGGUAAGACAUAGGUCGCGAACGUUAUCCGGAAUUAUUGGGCGUAAAGGGUGCGUAGAUGGUAAAGUAAGUUAUCAGUGGGAAAUCGAGGCUCAACCUCGUGGAAGCUGGUAAUACUGCUAUACUAGAGUGCAGGAGAGGUUAACGGAACUCCAUGUGGAGCGGUAAAAUGCGUAGAUAUAUGGAAGAACAUCAAUAACGGCGAAGGCAGUUAACCAUUCUGCUACUGACAUUGAGGCACGAAAGCGUGGGGAGCAAAAAGGAUUAGAUACCCUUGUAGUCCACGCCCUAAACGAUGAGUGCUAGAUAUUGGACCAUUAGGUUCAGUGUCGCUAGUUAACACGAUAAGCACUCCGCCUGGGUAGUACGCUCGCAAGAGUGAAACUCAAAGGAAUUGACGGGGACUCGCACAAGCAGUGGAGCAUGUGGUUUAAUCCGAUGCAACGCGUAGAACCUUACCAAGGCUUGACAUGUAGUGCAAAGCUAGGGAAACCUAGUGGAGGUUAUCAUUACACAGGUGCUGCAUGGCCGUCGUCAGUUCGUGCCGUGAGGUGUAUGGUUAAGUCCUAUAACGAACGCAACCCUUGUGCUUAGUUACCAGCAUUAAGUUGGGGACUCUAAGCAGACUGCCAGGGUAACCUGGAGGAAGGAAAGGAUGACGUUUGAUCAUC
RNAcentral lists this ribosomal RNA (1072 nucleotides) under Candidatus Moeniiplasma glomeromycotorum. RNAcentral describes it as "bacterial SSU rRNA". It matches the Rfam family "Bacterial small subunit ribosomal RNA", at positions 114 to 1194 of the family's 1533-position model. The record is from RNAcentral. Lineage: Bacteria; Bacillati; Mycoplasmatota; Mollicutes; Mycoplasmatales; Mycoplasmataceae.